GCCCGCGUCUGAUUAGAUAGUUGGUGGGGUAAUGGCCUACCAAGUCUGCGAUCAGUAGCUGGUUUGAGAGGAUGAUCAGCAACACUGGGACUGAGACACGGCCCAGACUCCUACGGGAGGCAGCAGUGGGGAAUCUUAGACAAUGGGCGCAAGCCUGAUCUAGCGAUGCCGCGUGAGUGACGAAGGCCUUAGGGUCGUAAAGCUCUUUCGCCAGGGAUGAUAAUGACAGUACCUGGUAAAGAAACCCCGGCUAACUCCAUGCCAGCAGCCGCGGUAAUACGGAGGGGGUUAGCGUUGUUCGGAAUUACUGGGCGUAAAGCGCACGUAGGCGGAUUAGACAGUUGGGGGUGAAAUCCCAGGGCUCAACCCUGGAACUGCCUCCAAAACUACUAGUCUAGAGUUCGAGAGAGGUGAGUGGAAUUCCGAGUGUAGAGGUGAAA
RNAcentral lists this ribosomal RNA (440 nucleotides) under uncultured Loktanella sp. Its description in RNAcentral is "bacterial SSU rRNA". It matches the Rfam family "Bacterial small subunit ribosomal RNA", at positions 229 to 686 of the family's 1533-position model. Lineage: Bacteria; Pseudomonadati; Pseudomonadota; Alphaproteobacteria; Rhodobacterales; Roseobacteraceae. The record is from RNAcentral.